CCACCAUGACGCAAAGUCCAGUAAUAACAGCGACGUCUAUCAAAGUAAUAGUCAUCUCUCCGUAUCGCAAAUGGAAACUCUGCGUUUCCCUACCUAUUCGCAUUGGUCCAAUUUUUAUGUAGCUAAAUCAUACAAUUAUCUACCGCUCAUUUUGACCAACCAACGGAGACGGAUCCAUCAUAGUAGCUGGCAAUUAUGCGCUAAUUGGCACACAUGGGACUCCAAACUCUCUGUAACACUUACAAGACAAAGUUAUUAAUUUCACACAUCUAAACUAAUUGAGGAAUUACGAAAAACAAUUAUAAAGAUUAUUACUUUAUACCUUGAUGUAUGACCUCAUUCGCGAUUGAUGUAAUUCCUUUGAUAAUCGCUACUACGCAUUUCCGUAUAAUUAACGGUACUUAGACGAUCUUGUGUUGUCGAUACAUGUUUCUCCACGAAUAAUUUUAGAUAUCCAUGGAACGAAAAAAAACUCAACAUGCCAAUUAGUUCAUUGUCACCUGAUAUGUCAACCAAUUCCCAUUCAUUAGCUCCCAUUGGACAUCAAACCGUUAUGCGGAGACGGUCUUCCACUCGGUCAUAGUUAGUAACAUUAUAUAUUUCCAUCUCAAAUUCCCGAAAUGAGAUAUCAUGUCGAAAAGCAACCAAUCGUUUACGGCCA
RNAcentral lists this long non-coding RNA (661 nucleotides) under Ananas comosus (pineapple). Its description in RNAcentral is "long non-coding RNA (ACOM_LNC031242)". Lineage: Eukaryota; Viridiplantae; Streptophyta; Magnoliopsida; Poales; Bromeliaceae. The record is from RNAcentral.